ACAGUCAACACUACAGACAUUCAAUUCCACAUUACAACUUGGUAUGAAAUACAGACAUUACUACGCUAGUAGUGAAUUAAAUAUGGUCUACAAUUUGAUGUGUUCCCUUAUUUCUUUCCAUCAGUGUAUCUUUGCUCAUUGGAUACUUGCAGAUUUUAAACAAUGCCAUAUCAUUCUGGCACAGACGUUGAUCCAUCAGGGUUAUGACGUCCACGGAUUCCUGAGGACAUUCAAAACAGUUUUACGAUAGACAUUUGGAGACUUAUAUCUACUAAAUACGAUGCAUAACUGACCAAAAUGAUGACUGAUGCUAUUCCAUAUUUUAAAUUUAUUGAUGCUUCUUCAUCUCUUUGACGGGUUUUAUCUCAAGCUUAUUUGCAAUGCCAUCAUCAUUUCAUCUGUACAAAGUUGUGUCUGCUUUAUAAAGCCAGGUGCAAAUGUGGGGUCAUCUAGUCAGUUAGCUCAUGGUGUAAGACGUGAGUGUAUUAUGAGUCUAAAUUCAAAUUAAAUAGAUUGAAUUAACAUUUUUGAAAUAAUGUCCUUAUAAACGUUAAAACUUGGAUUAUGAUGUUAUGUAACGAGUUCAGUUUUUGCUAAAAACAACAACAGGUGAGUCAUCAUUUGAAAUAAUGUCCUUAUAAACGUUAGAACUUGAAUUAUGACGUUAUGUAAAGAGUUAAGUUUUUGCUAAAAAAAAAACUGAGUCCCCACUCCCACAACUCUCCACACAUGCUUGGAAAGUUUUUGACUCCAGGUUUUCUCCGGGGGGGAGAAUGUAAUAUCUUAAACGUGCUUUGUCGUAGUUGCAUAAUGGCAGCUUCCUGUCAAAAUUAUUUAUUAACUUCUGCUUUAAAACGUAAACAUUACACCUUCCUCAAUAUCCCCAUAAACAUUACUGUCAAAUAGUUUAAUUUAGUAGUAAAAAAAAGUUUACUGGAAAAUCCUAAGUGGAUGACUUGCAGAAUUGCAUGUGUUCAGUUGAGCCAAAGUUUGCCAGUUGCAACACACAUUCUCUGAAAAACCUGAGGUUAAACCGUAAUUCAUUCAUUCAUUCUGACAAACCUGUCUAGAUGUCAACAGUCAACGUGCCAAUGUUUGUGGAUUUGUAUAUUUCAUAAGAUUUGUUAUGAAGUAAAAUGUCUGAAUUCUAUAGUCCGUGUCAUCCUACAAAUACGUUGGAGGGGGGUUGUAAAUAAUUUCAGUUUGGUUUGACGUAAGAAGAAAAGUAAGUGUUUUGGAAAUGACAAACAAAAAAAAGAACACUAUUUUUAUGUGUAAUUUAGAAAACAAUCUGUUAAGAAAUAAAUCAUAUGAGUUAUACAUGUAGUGGUACUGGCUCCCAUUUUUGUAGGGAAGGGGGGCAAACAUGCUUUUUCCCCGAAUGUAAUGAAAAUGCUGGCUACCAAACAACUACGUGUAUAUAGGGUUGUAAACGAAUCACGACACAUUUUUACAUGGAUUACAACUAAUUUUAAGGGUAGAAUGAUGUGUUAAAAGGUCUCAGGUUAGCACAUUUUGCCCGAAUAUCUCUAUUAUUUUUGCCUGAUAUUAAGGUAUUUUUCCAGUACUGGUUUGGAAGGGGGGGGGGGGGGGGGGACUAUAGUUGUACGUUUUUCACCAUUGUUUCAUUUUUAUAAAUUGUUUAGUGUUUUUCACCUCACCAAAUCCCCAAACACAAAUAAAAUUGGCAAAAGUCUUUUGAUUAAUAAA
Long non-coding RNA from Gigantopelta aegis, 1710 nucleotides. RefSeq lists it as uncharacterized. The record is from RefSeq and is a predicted model, not a curated record. Lineage: Eukaryota; Metazoa; Mollusca; Gastropoda; Neomphalida; Peltospiridae. The transcript has 2 exons.